UGGCGGACGGGUGAGUAACGCGUGGGUAACCUGCCUUGUACAGGGGGAUAACAGUCAGAAAUGACUGCUAAUACCGCAUAAGCGCACAGGACCGCAUGGUCCAGUGUGAAAAACUCCGGUGGUAUAAGAUGGACCCGCGUUGGAUUAGCUAGUUGGUGGGGUAACGGCCUACCAAGGCGACGAUCCAUAGCCGGCCUGAGAGGGUGAACGGCCACAUUGGGACUGAGACACGGCCCAG
RNAcentral lists this ribosomal RNA (238 nucleotides) under uncultured bacterium. RNAcentral describes it as "partial 16S ribosomal RNA". It matches the Rfam family "Bacterial small subunit ribosomal RNA", at positions 96 to 334 of the family's 1533-position model. The record is from RNAcentral.